CGAUUAUGGCUCGUUGAACACUGGCGGGAUGCUUUACACAUACAAGUCGAACGGCAGCACGGACUUCGGUCUGGUGGCGAGUGGCGAACGGGUGAUAUGUAUCGGAACGUGCUAGUGGCGGAGAUGGCUUGCGAAAGCGUAGCUAAUACAUGCAUGCUCGGGGAAAGCGGGGGCCCUUCGGGCCUCGCCUUUAUUGGAAGCGGCCGAUAUCCGGAUUAGCUGGUUGGUGGGCAACGGCUCACCAAGCGACGAUCCGUAGCUGGUUUGAGAGGACGACCAGCACACUGGGACGAGACACGACCCAGACUCCUGCAGGAGAGCAGCAGUGGGGAAUUUUGGACAAUGGAAACCCACAAGUCAGCCAUCCCGCGCUGAUGAGCCUUCGGAUUAUCAGCGCACUUUGGCAGGAAGAAACGGCACGGGAUAAUACCCGUACGCUGACCACCCUGCAGGAAUGGCGCGGCUUCUUACGUGCAGCAGCCGCGGUAUGCGUAGAGAUUGGCGUUAAUCCGGAAAUUACUGGGCGUAAAGCGUGCGCAGGCGGACCGGAAAGAAGAUGUGAAAAUCAGAGCUUAAACGGAAUUUUGCAUUUUGCUGAGCUGAAAUUGUCAGGGAGGUGGAAUUCACCGUCGUAGCGAUAAAAUGCGUAGACUGGAGGAACACCACGAUGGCGAAGGCGGCCUCUGGGAUAACACUGGCAGCUCGCCGCAGAGGCGUGGGGAGCAAACGGUUGGAUGCCUGGCCGGUCCGCCUAAACGAUGUCAACUGGCUGUUUGGGCCGCUGUGGGCAUGUUGGCGCAAUAACGCGUGAAGUUGACCGCCUGGGAAGCCACGGUCGCAAGAUUUAGAAACUCAAAGGAAUUGUUGGGGAUUACCACAGCGGUGGAUGAUGGAUUAAUUCGAUACAACGCGAAAAACCGCCCACCUGCCCUUGACAUAUCCCGGAAUCCCGAAAGAGGUUGCGGGAGUGCUCUGCAAGGAGAACCGGAACUUAGGUGCUGCGCAUGGCUGUCGUCAAUCUCGUGUCGAGGAUGUUGGGUUAGAGUCCCGCAGCGAGGCGCAAGCCCUUGUAUUAGUUGCUACGAAGGGCGCUCGAAGCGGACUGCCGGUGACAAACCAGGAAGGUGGGGAUGACGUCAAGUCUGUGGCCCUUAUGGGUAGGGCUUCACACAUCAUACAAUGGGUCGGGACAGGGAGUCGCCAACCCGCAAAGGGUAAUCCCAGAGCCCGAUCGUAGUCCGGAUCGCAGUCUGCAACUCGGCUGCGUGAAGUCGGGUGUCCUUAGUAAUCGCCAGAUCAGCAUGUGCGGUGAAUACCGUUCCGGGUCUUGUACACACCGCCCGUCACCGUAGAAUUAGGUUUUGCAAUGGAUUAGCCCUGACUUGUCAGAGGAGGGCGAUUACCACAGUAGGAUUCAUGACUGGGGUGAAGUCAUGGCAGCAGGUAG
This 1447-nucleotide ribosomal RNA is filed under the name uncultured Bordetella sp. RNAcentral's name for it is "partial 16S-23S ribosomal RNA intergenic spacer". It matches the Rfam family "Bacterial small subunit ribosomal RNA". Lineage: Bacteria; Pseudomonadati; Pseudomonadota; Betaproteobacteria; Burkholderiales; Alcaligenaceae. The record is from RNAcentral.